CCCGCACGGGGAGGGGUUCGGAGCGGGCAAUUUGCACACAAGAGCGAGCAGCACCGCCGCGGCUGCCUUUGCCCGGGUCGCCCUUUUAUUUAUUUCAUUCGCCGCCGCUUCUCCUUCCCCCUCUCCAAGCAGCCGGUGCUGUUCUUGGCGCUUCUUCUCCUCCUCCUCCUCGCAGGCAGCAGCCGGCAACCGCGAGCUGACGGUGCCAUCCUGCAGGAAACGGAGCCCGCAGGCAGGGAGGUUUGUUCUCUUCCCUACGGAGGAUGCAGAGCGCGAGGAGAAAAGAGAUCAAUGGCACCACUUCUGGACAUGUGGAAACAGAAAAGGGCCUUCUCCAUGAUGGUGCCCCAGCUGUGAAACUCCCUCCAUAAAGGACCAUGAAUGACUAUGACAAUGAUUGGCUUCUGCUGCAUAAUGAAGACUUACAUACUUGCUCUCCAAGGUUUUGGAGCCCAUGUUUAUUUUAUUUUUUAACCUUUAUUAUAUAAUAGUUGUUGUGAUUUUUUUCCUUGCUUUUUUCCCUUGCUUUUUAUAAUAUGGGCUUCUUAUUGGUAAUUACUGUCGAUAUCAUCCUAUUGAUAUCUGAGGUCCUUUUUAAAAAACGAAAAGUGGUAUACAAGAAUGCUAGAUAAAAUUAAGUGAUGUCAAA
This is a long non-coding RNA of Podarcis muralis (Common wall lizard), 649 nucleotides long. RefSeq lists it as uncharacterized. The record is from RefSeq and is a predicted model, not a curated record. Lineage: Eukaryota; Metazoa; Chordata; Lepidosauria; Squamata; Lacertidae.